UCAAGCUUUAAAGGGCACACAGUGAAUGCCUUGGUGCUAACAGGCGAUGAAGGACGUGAUAAGCUGCGAUAAGCUUCGGGGAGCGGCAAACACGCUUUGAUCCGGAGAUUUCCGAAUGGGGUAACCUGAUGGUUUUAAUAGGCCAUCGUUCUUUUCUGAAGCCAGACCCGGGGCAACCUGGUAAUGGAAGUUAGGAAAAGACACGCGAUACCCGGUGAAGUGAAACAUCUCAGUAACCGGAGGAAAAGAAAGAGAAUCGAUUCCGUCAGUAGUGGCGAGCGAAAGCGGAAGAGCCCAAACCGGGGACUUGUCCCCGGGGUUGUAGGACCCCGUCGUGGGACCUCAAUGGAUAGGUGAGGGAACUGGAAAGUUCCGGCAUAGAGGGUGAUACCCCCGUAACCGAAAUCCAACGAGGCCCUAGGGUGUUCCUGAGUAAUACGGCACACGUGAAACGCCGUAUGAAUCCAUGCGGACCACCGCAUAAGGCUAAAUACUAGUUAGCGACCGAUAGUGAACCAGUACCGUGAGGGAAAGGUGAAAAGAACCGCUGUGAGCGGAGUGAAAUAGAACCUGAAACCGUGUGCCUACAAGGUGUCAGAGCACUUUCGAGUGUGAUGGCGUGCCUUUUGCUUAAUGAGUCUGCGAGUUAGUAUCUGUGGCAAGCUUAAGUUCUUAGGGAACGGAGGCGAAGCGAAAGCGAGUCCGAAUAGGGCGUUUAGUUGCAGGUGCUAGACCCGAAGCGGAGGUGAUCUACCCUUGGCCAGGUUGAAGCGCAGGUGAUACUGCGUGAAGGACCGAACAGGUGAAUGUUGAAAAAUUCUCUGAUGAGCUGAGGGUAGGAGUGAAAGGCUAAUCAAACCCCGUGAUAGCUGGUUCUCCUCGAAAUGCAUUGAGGUGCAGCGUCGCGUGUUUAUGAAUGGGGGUAGAGCACUGAAAGGGCUAGGGGGCAUACCCGCCUACCAACCCCUAUCAAACUCCGAAUACCAUUCAACAGAGCGCGGCAGUGAGACGGUGGGGGAUAAGCUUCAUCGUCAAAAGGGAAACAACCCUGAUCAGCAGCUAAGGUGCCCAAAUACCGCUAAGUGGAAAGGAUGUGGAAUUUCACAGACAGUGAGGAUGUUGGCUUAGAAGCAGCCACCAUUUAAAAAGUGCGUAAUAGCUUACUCAUCGAGAGAUUCUGCGCCGAAAAUGAUUGGCGAUAAGCGGUAUACCGAAGCUCUGGGCUUUUGUCCCUGGGGACAGGAGCGGUAGAGGAGCAUUCUUGACAGCGUCGAAGCGCGAUGGCGACUGACCGUGGAGCGUCAAGAAGAGAGGAUGCAGACAUGAGUAACGAUAAGACGGGUGAAAUCCCCGUCCGCCGUAAACCCAAGGUUUCCCGGGCUACGAUUUUCGUCCCGGGGUUAGUCAGGACCUAAGGCGAGGCCGAUAGGCGUAGCCGAUGGACAGCAGGUUAAUAUUCCUGCACUUCCGACCCUUAACCCGGAUUGACGCAUGGCUGGAGGUAACUAGGUGAUUGAAUUCCGAGGUGCGGCUACGGCCAAUCCGUAUUACCAAAGGCGGUGCCGAGAAAAGAUCCGGUGUAUGCUAAGGAACCUGUACCGCAAACCGACACAGGUGGGUGGGUAGAAUAUACCAAGGCGUAAGAGUGAACCCUGGUUAAGGAACUCGGCAAAUUGGCCCCGUAACUUCGGGAGAAGGGGUGCCUAGGUUUACCUAGGCCGCAGUGAAAUGGCCCAACCGACUGUUUAGCAAAAACACAGCAUUCUGCCAAGCCGCAAGGCCAAGUAUAGGAUGUGACACGUGACCAAUGCGGAAAGAUUAAGGUAAGAUGUUAGCAGCAAUGCGAAGCUUUGAGCCCAAGUCCCCGUGAAUGUCGGCCGUAACUAUAACGGUCCUAAGGUAGCGAAAUUCCUUGUCGGGUAAGUUCCGACCUGCACGAAUCGUGAAACGAGUUGGGCGCUGUCUCAACCAGGUGCUCAGUGAAAUUGUAAUGGCGGUGAAGAUGCCGCCUACCCGCAGAAGGACGGAAAGACCCUAUAGACCUUAACUGUAAGCUGUCAUUGGUUUUUCGAUUUUCAUGCUCAGCAUAAGUGGGAGACUUUGAUGUGGUCCUUUAGGGGGCCGCGGAGUCGCCAGUGAGAUACCACCCUUGGGUGUUGGAAGAUCUAACCUCGGUCCCGUGAAUCCGGGCGAGGGACAUUGUCAGCCGGUCAGUUUUACUGGGGCGGUAUCCUCCCAAAGAGUAACGGAGGAGCGCGAAGGUGGGCUCAGCACGGUCGGUAACCGUGUGUCGAGUGCAUAGGCAUAAGCCCGCCUAACUGUGAGACCUACAAGUCGAGCAGAUACGAAAGUAGGCCUAAGUGAUCCGGCGGUUGAAUGUGGAAUUGCCGUCGCUCAACGGAUAAAAGGUACCUUAGGGAUAACAGGCUGAUUUCAUCCAAGAGUUCAUAUCGACGAUGAAGUUUGGCACCUCGAUGUCGGCUCGUCGCAUCCUGGGGCUGGAGAAGGUCCCAAGGGUCCGGCUGUUCGCCGGUUAAAGCGGCACGCGAGCUGGGUUCAGAACGUCGCGAGACAGUUCGGUCCUCUAUCCUCUGUGGGCGCAGGAAAAUUGAGGGGUUCGGUUCCUAGUACGAGAGGACCGGAAUCGACAUACCUCUGGUGCACCGGUUGUCCUGUCAAGGGCAUGGCCGGGUAGCUAAGUAUGGAAUAGAUAAGCGCUGAAAGCAUCUAAGCGCCAAGCUACUCCCAAGAUGAAUUUUCCCUUAAGGAUCGUCGAAGACUACGACGUUGAUAGGCUUCAGGUGUAAGUGCGGUAACGUAUUCAGCCGAGAAGUACUAAUCAUCCGUUUGGCUUGAUUCCU
Molecule: ribosomal RNA, 2861 nt
Filed under: metagenomes
Description: bacterial LSU rRNA
Rfam family: Bacterial large subunit ribosomal RNA
Source: RNAcentral